RNAcentral lists this ribosomal RNA (119 nucleotides) under Triticum aestivum (bread wheat). The record is from RNAcentral. Lineage: Eukaryota; Viridiplantae; Streptophyta; Magnoliopsida; Poales; Poaceae.
GGAUGCGAUCAUACCAGCACUAAAGCACCGGAUCCCAUUAGAACUCCGAAGUUAAGCGUGCUUGGGCGAGAGUAGUACUAGGAUGGGUGACCUCCUGGGAAGUCCUCGUGUUGCACUCC